GUGCUGUUGGAUGAUGUGGGCGAUCGUGUACCUUGCACAGUUGAAACCGCUCAUUGUACCAAUCUUAAGUGAAGGAGAGUGAGGAUGCUGAUGGAAGAUUGAUGAAAGCAUUUUGAGGCAUGUAGCAGCUGAAGAUACUGUUGUAUCAGAAUUUCUGUCUACUUAUAUAUAUUAUAUAGUAACAAAACAAUUUUGAAGUCAUUUUUUAGAUUCAUAGUAUAAUGUUUUCCAGUUCGAAAUCCUUUCUCUUAGCUUUGGACUAAUGCCAAUAAUAAAAGGUGG
RNAcentral lists this unclassified non-coding RNA (282 nucleotides) under Hevea brasiliensis (rubber tree). Lineage: Eukaryota; Viridiplantae; Streptophyta; Magnoliopsida; Malpighiales; Euphorbiaceae. The record is from RNAcentral.